AGUGAACGCUGGCGGUAGGCCUAACACAUGCAAGUCGAACGGCAGCACAGUAAGAGCUUGCUCUUACGGGUGGCGAGUGGCGGACGGGUGAGGAAUACAUCGGAAUCUACUUUUUCGUGGGGGAUAACGUAGGGAAACUUACGCUAAUACCGCAUACGACCUACGGGUGAAAGCAGGGGAUCUUCGGACCUUGCGCGAUUGAAUGAGCCGAUGUCGGAUUAGCUAGUUGGCGGGGUAACGGCCCACCAAGGCGACGAUCCGUAGCUGGUCUGAGAGGAUGAUCAGCCACACUGGAACUGAGACACGGUCCAGACUCCUACGGGAGGCAGCAGUGGGGAAUAUUGGACAAUGGGCGCAAGCCUGAUCCAGCCAUACCGCGUGGGUGAAGAAGGCCUUCGGGUUGUAAAGCCCUUUUGUUGGGAAAGAUAAGCAGCAGGUUAAUACCCCGCUGUUCUGACGGUACCCAAAGAAUAAGCACCGGCUAACUUCGUG
Molecule: ribosomal RNA, 492 nt
Filed under: uncultured bacterium
Lineage: Bacteria
Description: partial 16S ribosomal RNA
Rfam family: Bacterial small subunit ribosomal RNA
Source: RNAcentral